GCCAAUGCAUGCUUUUACAGUAUGAAAAUUGGUGAUUUAUAAUAACUURGCAAAUCGCAAAGUGAAAACAGGCGAUAAAUCAUUCAAGUUUCUGACCUAUCAGCUUUCGACGGUAUGGUAUUGGCUUACCGUGGCAGUGACGGUUAACGGGGGAUUAGGGUUCGAUUCCGGAGAGGGAGCCUGAGAAACGGCUACCACAUCUAAGGAAGGCAGCAGGCGCGCAAAUUACCCAAUUCUAACAGUUUGAGAGAGGUAGUAACAAGAAAUAACAAUACAAGGCAAUUAAAAUGCUUUGUAAUUGGAAUGAUAGAAAUUUAAACCCUUUUUAAAGUAUCAAUUGGAGGGCAAGUCUGGUGCCAGCAGCCGCGGUAAUUCCAGCUCCAAUAGCGUAUAUUAAAAUUGUUGCAGUUAAAAAGCUCGUAGUUGAAGUUCUGCUAAAAGUAACCGGUCUGCUUUUAAUAAAAGUGGUAUCUUGGUGUGUAUUUAGCAAUGAUGUCCUUUGAAGUGUUUUUUACUUUAUUGUAAUAAAGCAUAUUCAGGACUUUUACUUUGAGAAAAUUAGAGUGUUUCUAGCAGGCCGACGCUUUGAAUACUG
RNAcentral lists this ribosomal RNA (595 nucleotides) under Hepatozoon canis. Its description in RNAcentral is "SSU rRNA". Lineage: Eukaryota; Apicomplexa; Hepatozoidae. The record is from RNAcentral.